Molecule: long non-coding RNA, 1310 nt
Organism: Daphnia pulex (common water flea)
Lineage: Eukaryota; Metazoa; Arthropoda; Branchiopoda; Diplostraca; Daphniidae
Exons: 3
Source: RefSeq, a predicted model, not a curated record
CUUGAAUUUACAAGCGGCAUUCUGGGCCAGUGCCAACAUUUCGUCGAAAUUGUGUGGUACAAUUCGAUCGUAACCCCAAGGAAGCAUAAUCUUCUGACCAGAGCUGUGAAGACUUAGGAAAUACUGCUGAUGAAAUUUGCAUAGGCGAGAGUCUCUGGCUCGGAAAAGGCUUUAGGUCCCUUGUAUACUUGAGAGCACGGAUUACUGCUUGAGCCUGCACCACCCCACUAUAGAUCAUUAUGGAUACAAUGAAUUAAUUGAAUUAAGACAUUAAAACAGCAGUAAAAACCAAUGACUGACCUUAAAGUCAAAAUUACGAUUAGGAUCAACACCUUGACACCUUCCUGAUUCCACUUGCGAUGGUGAACGAGUUUUUCGCCAUAGUCGACUGCUCACAUGAAAGAACGUUUACCAUCAGGAUUCACAACGGGCAUAAUGUACCAGUCGACAUUUUGCAAGAGUUUCAAGUUUGCCGGAUCUUCAACGAGCUGUUGAAUAAUGUAAGUCACCACCGCAGGUGAGAUCCAUUCUCGAGCGUGAAAUGCUUGAAACAAUAGAGAGCGUUACUUGUCAAAAUCAAACCUUUUGUAAUUGAUUUUAAUCAGUGGCCUUACUUCCAUCGAUCCAAAUUGCAGGUGUGUGGGCAGAAGUCGAAUUGGAGAUGUGAACAACGUAGAGCGGCCGUCCUUCGUACGAGGUACCGAUAUUAAUCAACUCGACAUGACACGGGUAAGUGUCGGCCAAGUAUUUGAGGUAGACGUAAAUAUCGUCCAGUCGGUGGUACCUGGUCCAGUCCAUUUGGUGAGCUAAACAAUUUCAAUACCGUUACGCGCACUCUUGAUUAAGAUAUCAGCACAAUUGUUAGGUACCUGCAUUACGAUUGGUGGCACUGGCGUUGACGAUGGGAUUCUCGUUUUUAAUUGCCUUCUGCAAGUCCAGGAUUUCAAUGUCGUAGGGCAGUUUAGCUUCUUUCAACUUUUGUCUGACUUCUUUUUGUACGCGGGGUGGUACCAUGAUAUCCACCGGAUCGUCCAAUUCCUUGGUCUCUUUCCAUAUCUCAAGUUCUGCGUUUUCAAUCCAAUUUAACUUGCGACUUAAUCAUUUAAAUAUCGCUAGACUUUACUGUAGUUUUUGAUGAUCUUGAAAAGGGCAGUUUGUUCGCUUUGUGAAUGAGGCGUGAUUGACCAAAUCUGGAAUCCGGAAUACGAAGUGGCAGUGUUCCGUGUUGCUUUGCAUUGUCCGGUUGGAGCGGCGUGACAGGCAAAGAAAACCCAAUUCACGGCGAAUAAAGCAAACAACAACGACAUCCU